Molecule: ribosomal RNA, 7172 nt
Filed under: Emiliania huxleyi CCMP1516
Lineage: Eukaryota; Haptophyta; Isochrysidales; Noelaerhabdaceae
Description: 28S_rRNA
Rfam family: Eukaryotic large subunit ribosomal RNA (bases 1-3759)
Source: RNAcentral
ACUCCUGCCGAUGGAUAUCUUGGCUCUCGCAUCGAUGAAGAACGCAGCGAAAUGCGAUACGUAGUGCGAAUUGCAGAAUUCAGUGAAUCAUCGAACCUUUGAACGCAAAUGGCGCAUCCGGGCUCCGCUCGGACGCAUGUCUCUUCGAGGGGCGCCUCCAUCCUCCUCGGAGCGAGAGAGCUCUCUCUCUCGUCUCCGGAGCCGGCGGCCGCGCGGGGGAGCCUCGGCCCCCUCGCGCGCCCGCCCAAGGCUGCCUUGCGAGCGCGGCGGCGGCGUCUAACCCGCGUCCCCGCCGGAGUGCUAAGUCCACGACUAGACCUCCGGCGGACGCGUGCCCCGUUCUGCCUCGCGACCCCCGGCGUGCGNNNNNNNNNNNNNNNNNNNNNNNNNNNNNNNNNNNNNNNNNNNNNNNNNNNNNNNNNNNNNNNNNNNNNNNNNNNNNNNNNNNNNNNNNNNNNNNNNNNNNNNNNNNNNNNNNNNNNNNNNNNNNNNNNNNNNNNNNNNNNNNNNNNNNNNNNNNNNNNNNNNNNNNNNNNNNNNNNNNNNNNNNNNNNNNNNNNNNNNNNNNNNNNNNNNNNNNNNNNNNNNNNNNNNNNNNNNNNNNNNNNNNNNNNNNNNNNNNNNNNNNNNNNNNNNNNNNNNNNNNNNNNNNUCUUCCAUGAAUGAGCUUCACAUAUGUAACUCGGCUACGGCUCAAGUCCCUUGGAACAGGGUGUCGGAGAGGGUGAGAAUCCCGUACCGUGGCGGGUUGCGGCCUUACGAUGCGUCCUCGUCGAGUCGGGUUGCUUGGGAUUGCAGCUUGAAUUGGGUGGUAAAUUCCAUCUAAAGCUAAAUACUGGCGAGAGACCGAUAGCGAACAAGUACCGUGAGGGAAAGAUGCAAAGAACUUUGAAAAGAGAGUCAAAGAGUGCUUGAAAUCGGUAGGAGGAAACCCGGAUGGGCCCGGCUUCGGCGCGCCGACUCAGCCUGGGGUUCUCCCCAGGUGCACUUCUGCGCGCCGGGUCAGCCGCGCCUCGGCGCCGCGCCUCAACCCGGGAGCGGGGCUUUACGGCCAGCUCCCGUCCUGGCGCGGCCCGGGGCCCGGCUGACGGAACGGGCCCCUCCGACCCGUCUAGAAACACGGACCAAGGAGUCUGACACGUGUGCGAGUACCCGGGUGGCAAGCCCGCGUGCGGAAUGAAAGUGAAGGGCAUGCCCUGCCAACCGACCUUGACCUGCUGUGAGGGGUUUGAGUGGAGCACACCUGUCGGGACCCGAAAGAUGGUGAACUAUGCCUGGGUAGGGUGAAGCCAGAGGAAACUCUGGUGGAGGCUCGUAGCGAUACUGACGUGCAAAUCGUUCGUCGAAUCUGGGUAUAGGGGCGAAAGACUAAUCGAACCAUCUAGUAGCUGGUUCCCUCCGAAGUUUCCCUCAGGAUAGCUUGAACGCAACGGUUUUGUCAGGUAAAGCGAAUGAUUAGAGGCCUGUGGGCUGAAACAGCUUGCACCUAUUCUCAAACUUUAAAUGGGCAAGAGGCCCGGGAUGCUUGAGUGAUCCCGGGCGGCGAACGGCGCGUUCAAAGUGGGCCAUUUUUGGUAAGCAGAACUGGCGAUGCGGGAUGAACCGAACGCCGCGCUAAGGUACCCAAGUGUCCGCUCAUCAGAUACCACAAAAGGCGUUGGUACCUCCAGACAGCAGGACGGUGGCCAUGGAAGUCGGAACCCGCUAAGGAGUGUGUAACAACUCACCUGCCGAAGGUACUAGCCCUGAAAAUGGAUGGCGCUCAAGCGGACCACCGAUGCGCGGCCGCCGGCGCGAGCGCGAGGCGCCGGCGAGUAGGAGGGCGCGGGGCUCGCGGCGCAGCCUUGGGCGCGAGCCUGGGUGAAGCGGGCCCCGGUGCAGAUCUUGGUGGUAGUAGCAAAUAUUCAAAUGAGAACUUUGAAGACUGAAGUGGAGAAAGGUUCCGUGUGAACAGCAGUUGGACACGGGUGAGCCGACCCUAAGAGACAGGAAAACUCCGCCGAACGCGGCUGGUUCUGUCAGCCCGUCCGUCGAAAGGGAAUCGGGUUAAUAUUCCCGAGCCAGCGCGUGGAUGGUGGGCGGCGACGCGAACGAACCCGGAGACGCCGGCGGGAGCCCUGGGAAGAGUUCUCUUUUCUUCUUAACUGCCUCCUGCCCUGGAAUCGGUUUAGCCGGAGCGAGGGCUACACGGCAGGCAAAGCACCCUAAGUCUUGGGGUGUCCGGCGCGCUCCCGACGGCCCGUGAAAAUCCGGGGGAGCGGUUCGUUCUCACGCCUGGUCGUACUCAUAACCGCAUCAGGUCUCCAAGGUGAACAGCCUCUAGUCGAUAGAGCAAUGUAGGUAAGGGAAGUCGGCAAAAUGGUUCCGCAACCUCGGGAGAAGGAAUGGCUCUGAAGGCUGGGCGCAGGGGUCCUAGGCUCGAGGCCGGCUGGCUGCGCGGGGACUACGGCCUCACGGCUGCGGAUCCCGCGCGGCCGUCCGGCGGACGGCCUAGGAGCGCUCCGGCUCUCCCUGCGCGACGAACAGCCGCUUCAGAACUGGCGCGGACAAGGGGAAUCCGACUGUUUAAUUAAAACAAAGCAUUGCGAUGGCCCGCGAGGGUGCUGACGCAAUGUGAUUUCUGCCCAGUGCUCUGAAUGUCAAAGUGAAGAAAUUCAACCAAGCGCGGGUAAACGGCGGGAGUAACUAUGACUCUCUUAAGGUAGCCAAAUGCCUCGUCAUCCAAUUAGUGACGCGCAUGAAUGGAUUCGUGAGAUUCCCACUGUCCCUAUCUACUGUCUAGCGAAACCACAGCCAAGGGAACGGGCUUGGAAGAAUCAGCGGGGAAAGAAGACCCUGUUGAGCUUGACUCUAGUCUGUUACUGUGGAACGACUUGAUGGGUGUAGAAUAUGCGGGAGGGGCAACCCGACAGUGAAAUACCGCAACCGUCAACGUUGUUUUACUUACUCGGUGGCGCGGAGGGAGGCUCGCCUCACUUCUGGAUCCAAGCCGCUUCGUGCGCGCGAUCCGCGUCGGGGACACUAACAGGUGGGGAGUUUGGCUGGGGCGGCACGUCUGUUAAAAAAUAACGCAGGCGCCCGAUUUUGAGCUCAAUGAGAACAGAAAUCUCAUGUGGACCGAAAGGGGAAAAGCUCGGUUGAUUUUGAUUUUCAGUACGAAUACAAACCGCGAAAGCGUGGCCUAUCGAUCCUCUCGUCUUUGGGAAUUUCAAGCUAGAGGUGUCAGAAAAGUUACCACAGGGAUAACUGGCUUGUGGCUGCCAAGCGUUCAUAGCGACGUAGCUUUUUGAUCCUUCGAUGUCGGCUCUUCCUAUCACUGCCUCGCAGCGGGGGCCAAAUGCAGGAUUGUUCACCCACCAACAGGGAACGUGAGCUGGGUUUAGACCGUCGUGAGACAGGUUAGUUUUACCCUACUGCUGUCUGUUUUUCUACGGUAAUUUGGUUCAGUACGAGAGGAACCACCAAUUCGCAUCAUCGGUAUAGCCGCCGCCGGAAACGGCGAUGCGGCGAAGCUGCCAUGCGCCGGAUUAUAACUGAACGCCUCUAAGUUAGAAUCCAUGCCGGAAGGAAAGCCACCUACCGGCCCGGGGACGCCACGAGCAACGGUAGCACUGCCUGAGCCGCGAGCGACCACAAUUCACGGACCCGGGCCGACGAAUCCCUUGCAGACGACUUGAAUAAGGAACGGGGUAUUGUACGCGGCAGAGUGGCCUUGUUGCCACGAUCCGCUGAGAUUCAGCCUUGGUUCUGACGAUUUGUUGCGCGCGCGCAACAACCCUCAGGGCCUCUCCCGUUCCUCAGUCGCUCUCUCGGCGCUCUCCCCCUCUCGCCUCUCCUCCGAGCCUCACUCGCUCGGGGGCGGAGCCGAGGGGGCGAGAGCGCGAUUUCUGCCCAAGGCAGCGCGCAGGCCACUGCGCAAACACACCCGGCUCUCCCCAAGCCGCCAUUGGGCGCUCCCGCGGUCCCCUCCGGGCUGAAUGCGGCCUCCGGAGCGGGGCAGCUGCCACCUCUGCGCGUCCUGGGGAUGUACCUUUGUCGCGCGCCAGAGACGACUCGACGCCGCUGAGAUCGGAGAUCAAGCUCUGACAGGUCGCACGUCGCUCCUUUGACGCCGACGUGACUCACCCGUGCAGAUCACAUCAGGACACGGUCUCGACGCGCUCGGUACGACGCCUGCGACCCGUCUCGGGUCAGGUGGCACGACGCUCAUCGCGCCUACCAGCGCUGCCGUGCAGGUUGCCACGACGAGGUCGAGCACGCUUCUAUACGCUCGCCGAGCCUUCCUUUCCAUCCCAUUUGGCAGCCUGGGAACGGUGGCGGUCAGAGGCAAAGCAUACGAGGGGUGGUGGAACCACAUGUCACGGCUACUGCCGGCUCGACCCCACGAUAGCCUCCGGAGGCUGACUUUGAGGCACAAUCAUCGGACGACGUCGGCGAGUUGAGUCGCGCUCGCGGUAGCCAGAUGACCUCUCAUACUAGUAUCAUCGGCCAUGGCCGCAGGAAGCGCGGGGGAGGGCGCUGGGAGCAACACGGAGCUCCGUUGGACGUUUUCAAGAUUAGCGUGUCAGAGUGAAAUGGAACUAGCCAGUGGCAAGCGAGUCGACGCUCGACCAGGCGAUGCACUAGCCACUAGCACUACAGAAGAGCGCAGUGGGUGCUUCGGAACGCAAAGAAGAGCGUGGAGAAAGCUAUGAGUAGACUUAGACGCUCAAGGCACCGACAUGUACCUUUUUGCGCAAAUGGUCAAAUCAAGGUUUUGUAACGCGAGCUGUGCCACAGUGAAAUGGAACUAGCCACUGUCAUUUCCAACAUUUGAUUGCCCCCGCCCUCUCUCGCGCCACAGCCGCCACCGCGCCGGCCAUCUCUCUCACUGCGAUGUGGCCGCGCCCACCGCCCUGUCACCACCGUUAGAGCUGUCAAACGUUAAGAGCUGAACAGUGUUGCUAGUGUUAACAGUAACAACAGAACAACAGUUGGGCUCCCCAACAACAGUAGCUAACGUUAGGCCGGCUGAACAACAAUAAGGAAGGCCUGGCAGUGACCCACGACGAUCUCCAGCGUCCAGUGCGGGUAAUACCCGAAAAUACCUGGAAAAUCCCGGGUAUUCUGCUUGCUGGCCGCUGAACAACAGUAACAACAGUAACAAACAGUAACAGCAUGGGCUGGGAUGAACACUUGAACAACGUUAAGGAUUUCAGCCAACAAUAGUGCAACUGUUAGGCCCAAAGUUAACGUUUGACAGCUCUAACCACCGUUACCGUUACCUCCACCGCCCUCGCCACCGCCCUCACCCCCUCAUGCCGCCGCUACCAUUCCGGCCACCCUCGCCGCUCCCACCCUCAUGGCCUCAUCCCGUCGCCUCCCCCUCGCCUUCGCCGCUACUUGCUCGUAUUUUAGGUGCGUCCACGCCCACCCGUGACGAAAAACGAAGAAGCACCAAACGCCCACCCGUGACGAAAAACGAAGAAGCACCAAACGCCAAGCGUGAGGACGCGAUUUCAUAUAAGGGUCAAAGCAGGUUUCGAACUGGCCAAGCGUGAGGACGACCGAGGGAAUUAGACACAACAGAUACACAUACAAGAGACGCCCGAAGUGCCAAGAAGGACGUCAUUAGUACGAAACCUCAGAAGGCCAUGGGCGCCGAGAGAACAUUCCCCCGAGAGGAAAAAAGAAAAAGAAAAAAGUCGACGCACCCCCUCCUUGCGCAGUGUCCCUCGCUAUGUGUCGCCGCUAUCGGGGCACGCUAUCCUGCGUAGGCAGGGCAAGCGGGGGCGGGGGGCACUCCCCCUGGUCUGAUACUGGGGUGUGACUGUCUCCAGUCUCGGAGGGGGGCAAGAAGGUAAGAAUAUCUAAUUUUUUAUUUUUAGGUGCGUCCACGCCUCGCACACCACCUUCCGGCAUGGCCCGAGACGCUUGGUUUCGUCCUCGUCUCCUCGCCCCUGCCCCGCCCCCCUUCAGGCGAGGCCCUGGCGACUCAGCUCGUGCUAUGGUCACCGGGUGGGCAGCUGCGCCACGCUCUCUUCGAGAGCGAUCGGCGGCGGCGGCUCGUUUUCCGCACGCGUACGGCGGCCUGCUGCCGGCGCGGCACUUCGGGAAUUUAUUUUUGAGUACUUGUGUAAACUUGUGGGGCUGGUAUGUUGUUUUUCGGGGGAGUUCGGGGCGGCGGAGUAUUUUUGUGUGUGCGCGGGGGGGUGCGGUCGUUCCUCCUCGAUCAGCCUCCCGCUCCCCUCCCUCUCGUCCACGAUUCUCUUGAGGAUGGACGCCUCCGACUCAAGCCGCUCCACCUUUGCCACCUCGAGCCGCCGCUGAAAGUUCCAUCCACCUGCUUGAGUCAAUGUUUCCUCUUGAGCAGCAGCCUCGCCUAGCACGUGGCAAACAGAAGGGGCUAGCUCAGCGAGGGCCUUCUAGGCGGCCCGCGGGUAGUCUCACCCCAUCCCCAGGGCCUCCAGGGCUCGCACCUCAACCUCUCACAGACCAGCGCAUAGCGGUGUGCAAGGCAUUAUCUUUUCUUUCCUGUCGAACCUGUGUGCUAAAAGAAAGAAAGAAAACGUGAAUUCAGAAUGCAGGCCAUCGCUCCCUUCUGCCCGUGCCUCGGCGCUGGCGACGACAACGCUGGCAUGGAGCUAAAGCCCAUGAAGGCGGCGAACAGUGAUGACGAGGCGGCGGCGGCCGGCAGCAGCAGCAACCUUCCAACCUCCGGCCUGCUCGGGAUGGCCCUUCGGCCGGUGGCAAAUUUCCAGCAGGCGCGUGCUGCCGGCUGCACCACCACCGCACGCUCUCUCCGCACUCAUCCCACAUUCACCGCUCAGCUGAGGCCGUGUGUCCGGUGGCCGUGGCAUGCUGAGCCCGCCGCCCGCCCCGCCGCAGCGGCGCGCCGAGGACGCGGCGCGGAGGGAUCGCGCGGCCGCGCUGAUGGAGGGGUGCGACAUGAAGCUGCUCACCGCCAAGGGACCGGUGCCUGUGCGGCUCGCUCUCUCUCGCGACUCUGCGAUGCUCACGUACCAGUCGCUGGGCGGCGCGACCGAGUCGGGCGUCAUCUCGCUCGCCAUCGUGCGGGAGGUCAAGCCCGUGGUGGCGGGCGGCAUCCUCCGCUCCCAGACGCCGGUGAUACAUGCGUAGCAAUAUCAAUAGCUCUCCGCUCCCAGACGCCGGUGCCGUGCGCGCGGUCUUGC